GACGAACGCUGGCCGCGUGCUUAACACAUGCAAGUCGAACGCUGAAGCCCUGGUGCUUGCACCGGGGUGGAUGAGUGGCGAACGGGUGAGUAACACGUGAGUAACCUGCCCCUGACUUCGGGAUAAGCCCGGGAAACUGGGUCUAAUACCGAAUAUGACCGUUCCUCGCAUGAGGGAUGGUGGAAAGUUUUUUCGGUUGGGGAUGGGCUCGCGGCCUAUCAGCUAGAUGGUGGGGUAAUGGCCCACCAUGGCGACGACGGGUAGCCGGUCUGAGAGGGCGACCGGCCACACUGGGACUGAGACACGGCCCAGACUCCUACGGGAGGCAGCAGUGGGGAAUAUUGCACAAUGGGGGAAACCCUGAUGCAGCGACGCAGCGUGCGGGAUGACGGCCUUCGGGUUGUAAACCGCUUUCAGCAGGGAAGAAGCCCCUUGGGGUGACGGUACCUGCAGAAGAAGUACCGGCUAACUACGUGCCAGCAGCCGCGGUAAUACGUAGGGUACGAGCGUUGUCCGGAAUUAUUGGGCGUAAAGAGCUCGUAGGUGGUUGGUCACGUCUGCUGUGGAAACGCAACGCUUAACGUUGCGCGUGCAGUGGGUACGGGCUGACUAGAGUGCAGUAGGGGAGUCUGGAAUUCCUGGUGUAGCGGUGAAAUGCGCAGAUAUCAGGAGGAACACCGGUGGCGAAGGCGGGACUCUGGGCUGUAACUGACACUGAGGAGCGAAAGCAUGGGGAGCGAACAGGAUUAGAUACCCUGGUAGUCCAUGCCGUAAACGUUGGGCACUAGGUGUGGGGGACAUUCCACGUUCUCCGCGCCGUAGCUAACGCAUUAAGUGCCCCGCCUGGGGAGUACGGUCGCAAGGCUAAAACUCAAAGGAAUUGACGGGGGCCCGCACAAGCGGCGGAGCAUGCGGAUUAAUUCGAUGCAACGCGAAGAACCUUACCAAGGCUUGACAUACACCAGACCGGGCUGGAAACAGUCCUUCCCCUUUGGGGUUGGUGUACAGGUGGUGCAUGGUUGUCGUCAGCUCGUGUCGUGAGAUGUUGGGUUAAGUCCCGCAACGAGCGCAACCCUCGUUCUAUGUUGCCAGCACGUGAUGGUGGGAACUCAUAGGAGACUGCCGGGGUCAACUCGGAGGAAGGUGGGGAUGACGUCAAAUCAUCAUGCCCUUUAUGUCUUGGGCUUCACGCAUGCUACAAUGGCUGGUACAGAGAGAUGCGAGACCGUGAGGUUUUAGCGAAUCCCUUAAAGCCAGUCUCAGUUCGGAUCGUAGUCUGCAAUUCGACUACGUGAAGUCGGAGUCGCUAGUAAUCGCAGAUCAGCAACGCUGCGGUGAAUACGUUCCCGGGCCU
Molecule: ribosomal RNA, 1354 nt
Filed under: uncultured bacterium
Lineage: Bacteria
Description: bacterial SSU rRNA
Rfam family: Bacterial small subunit ribosomal RNA
Source: RNAcentral